UACAGAGGUCUCAAGCGUUGUUCGGAUUCAUUGGGCGUAAAGGGUGCGUAGGCGGCGCGGUAAGUCGGGUGUGAAAUCUCGGAGCUUAACUCCGAAACUGCAUUCGAUACUGCCGUGCUUGAGGACUGGAGAGGAGACUGGAAUUUACGGUGUAGCGGUGAAAUGCGUAGAGUAAUCGUGAAGGAAGACCAGUGGCGAAGGCGGCUCACUGGCCCGAUACUGGACGCUGAGGCACGAAAGCGUGGGGAGCAAACAGG
RNAcentral lists this ribosomal RNA (257 nucleotides) under uncultured bacterium. Its description in RNAcentral is "partial 16S ribosomal RNA". It matches the Rfam family "Bacterial small subunit ribosomal RNA", at positions 524 to 776 of the family's 1533-position model. The record is from RNAcentral.